AGAGUUUGAUCCUGGCUCAGAGUGAACGCUGGCGGCAGGCCUAAUACAUGCAAGUCGAACGGCAGCACAGCAGAGCUUGCUCUGUGGGUGGCGAGUGGCGGACGGGUGAGGAAUACAUGGGAAUCUGCCCAGUCGUGGGGGAUAACGUAGGGAAACUUACGCUAAUACCGCAUGCGCCCUUCGGGGGAAAGCCGGGGACCUUCGGGCCUGGCGCGAUUGGAUGAGCCCAUGUCGGAUUAGCUAGUUGGCGGGGUAACGGCCCACCAAGGCGACGAUCCGUAGCUGGUCUGAGAGGAUGAUCAGCCACACUGGAACUGAGACACGGUCCAGACUCCUACGGGAGGCAGCAGUAGGGAAUAUUGGACAAUGGGCGCAAGCCUGAUCCAGCCAUGCCGCGUGAGUGAAGAAGGCCUUCGGGUUGUAAAGCUCUUUUGUCCGGAAAGAAAAGCUUCGGGUUAAUACCCCUGGAGUCCUGACGGUACCGGAAGAAUAAGCACCGGCUAACUUCGUGCCAGCAGCCGCGGUAAUACGAAGGGUGCAAGCGUUACUCGGAAUUACUGGGCGUAAAGCGUGCGUAGGUGGUUUGUUAAGUCUGAUGUGAAAGCCCUGGGCUCAACCUGGGAAUGGCAUUGGAUACUGGCAGGCUAGAGUGCGGUAGAGGGUAGUGGAAUUCCCGGUGUAGCAGUGAAAUGCGUAGAGAUCGGGAGGAACAUCUGUGGCGAAGGCGACUACCUGGACCAGCACUGACACUGAGGCACGAAAGCGUGGGGGAGCAAACAGGAUUAGAUACCCUGGUAGUC
RNAcentral lists this ribosomal RNA (800 nucleotides) under uncultured bacterium. Its description in RNAcentral is "bacterial SSU rRNA". It matches the Rfam family "Bacterial small subunit ribosomal RNA", at positions 8 to 795 of the family's 1533-position model. The record is from RNAcentral.